RNAcentral lists this transfer RNA (85 nucleotides) under Hippoglossus stenolepis (Pacific halibut). RNAcentral describes it as "tRNA-Tyr". Lineage: Eukaryota; Metazoa; Chordata; Actinopteri; Pleuronectiformes; Pleuronectidae. The record is from RNAcentral.
UUCUCGAUAGCUCAGUUGGAAGAGCGGAGACUGUAGGUCACAUAUGUUGACAUCCUUAGGUCGCUGGUUCAACUCGCUCGGGGAG